GGAGGUGUGCAUGGAGAAACAAAAAUGCUUGGGCCUUAGGCCCAAGCUUUCAAAUGCACACCCUGGUUCCUGCACUUUACCAAAGCCAAAGAAAUUGAAACGAAUACGUGAUAAUGAAUAAUCGUGAAAUUGUUGAUUGAACCGUGAUGUUGAGUUGAAGGGUGAAAGGUUGUUUGUUUUUGAAGGAGGUUCAUGAGAGAGUUUGUGGAGGGUCAUUCCGUUGGCAUUGAAGAGGUUAGAGGGAGUUACAGGAGGUUCAUAAUUGGUUCUUUCUGAAGAAGAUUGGAGUAUUUGAAGAAGUGGCAGUGGAACUGGUGCCAACAUCGAUUUUUGGGUUCGACAGUUUCUCCAAGUUCUUCAAGUGUUUCUUUCCGGCUAAGUAUGUAAUGUACAUAUCCCUGCUGUUACAAUUAAUCUUACAAGUUUAACACCAUGCAGAUUGAGCAACCUUGAUUUUCUUAGCGGCUUUUCAAAACGGAGCAAGCAAUAGAUGGACCAAUUAACGCUUGUACUUGGAAGCUACUUACGCCACUUUGUUGGCCAAUGACUUGAAGUUCAUUGGAUAUGCUUGGACAUGUGGUGGAUGCUAUGGAGUGUGGAAUGGCUAGGAGGCUUGAAUUGCUUGGAGUCGUGGAAUGCAUUGGAUUUAUGAUUUGUAAUUGGCUUAAUUUUGGAAUGUAGGAUAUUUUUGUAGGCUUUAUGUUUGGUUAUGUAAUGUUGAAGUUUUGAUGAAAUGAAUGUAAUUGUUAUGAUUGUAAUUGAAAUUG
Molecule: long non-coding RNA, 767 nt
Organism: Lathyrus oleraceus (garden pea)
Lineage: Eukaryota; Viridiplantae; Streptophyta; Magnoliopsida; Fabales; Fabaceae
Exons: 3
Source: RefSeq, a predicted model, not a curated record